CUUGACGACCAUAGAGCGUUGGAACCACCUGAUCCCAUCCCGAACUCAGUAGUGAAACGACGCAUCGCCGAUGGUAGUGUGGAGUUU
This 87-nucleotide ribosomal RNA is filed under the name Pseudomonas nicosulfuronedens. Lineage: Bacteria; Pseudomonadati; Pseudomonadota; Gammaproteobacteria; Pseudomonadales; Pseudomonadaceae. The record is from RNAcentral.